AGCAGAAGUGUGCAGAUCAGGGAUGGGAAGAUUAUCUGAUACGUAUCGAUACACUGACGCGCGUGCACGAUCUGAGUGCACGGGUAGAGAAGCUGCGUGUGAAUGAAAAGUUUGGAAUGAUAUCGCGAUGCAUCGGUUAUUGAAUGUUUGUAUCAAUAAAAUUUGAUCCAUUCAAUAGAAUAUA
This is a long non-coding RNA of Sphaeramia orbicularis (orbiculate cardinalfish), 184 nucleotides long. RefSeq lists it as uncharacterized. The record is from RefSeq and is a predicted model, not a curated record. The transcript has 3 exons. NCBI's taxonomy places the organism in Eukaryota, Metazoa, Chordata, Actinopteri, Kurtiformes, Apogonidae.